Molecule: unclassified non-coding RNA, 281 nt
Filed under: uncultured fungus
Lineage: Eukaryota; Fungi
Description: partial contains 5.8S rRNA, ITS2 and 28S rRNA
Rfam family: Eukaryotic large subunit ribosomal RNA
Source: RNAcentral
AAGGAGUCUAACAUAAGUGCGAGUAAAUGAGUGGCAAACUCACUUGCGCAAUGAAAGUGAACAAAGGGAAAUUUGCACCUUUGACCGAUCAGCCUAUUUAUAGACAGAUUUGAGUAAGAGCAUUUAUGUUGGGACCCGAAAGAUGGUGAACUAUACCUGGGUAGGAUGAAGCCAGAGGAAACUCUGGUGGAGGUCCGUAGCGGUUCUGACGUGCAAAUCGAUCGUAAAACUUGGGUAUAGGGGCGAAAGACUAAUCGAACCAUCUAGUAGCUGGUUCCCUC